UACGUAGGGGACUAGCGUUGUUCGGAAUCACUGGGCGUAAAGCGCACGUAGGCGGAUUGUUAAGUCAGGGGUGAAAUCCUGGAGCUCAACUCCAGAACUGCCUUUGAUACUGGCGAUCUCGAGUCCGGGAGAGGUGAGUGGAACUGCGAGUGUAGAGGUGAAAUGCGUAGAUAUUCGCAAGAACACCAGUGGCGAAGGCGGCUCACUGGCCCGGUACUGACGCUGAGGUGCGAAAGCGUGGGGAGCAAACAGG
This 253-nucleotide ribosomal RNA is filed under the name uncultured bacterium. Its description in RNAcentral is "partial 16S ribosomal RNA". It matches the Rfam family "Bacterial small subunit ribosomal RNA", at positions 524 to 776 of the family's 1533-position model. The record is from RNAcentral.